GACGAACGCUGGCGGCGUGCUUAACACAUGCAAGUCGAACGGUAAGGCCCCUUCGGGGGUACACGAGUGGCGAACGGGUGAGUAACACGUGAGGAACCUGCCCUUGACUCUGGGAUAACAGUGGGAAACUUCUGCUAAUACCGGAUAUUCAGAUUCUGCCGCAUGGUGGGGUUUGGAAAGCUUUUGUGGUCAAGGAUGGUCUCGCGGCCUAUCAGCUUGUUGGUGAGGUAAUUGCUUACCAAGGGUUCGACGGGUAGCCGGCCUGAGAGGGCGACCGGCCACAUUGUGACUGAGAUACGGCCCAGACUCCUACGGGAGGCAGCAGUGGGGAAUAUUGCACAAUGGGCGAAAGCCUGAUGCAGCAACGCCGCGUGCGGGAUGACGGCCUUCGGGUUGUAAACCGCUUUCAGUAGGGACGAAGCGCAAGUGACGGUACCUACAGAAGAAGCACCGGCUAACUACGUGCCAGCCGCCGCCGUAA
Molecule: ribosomal RNA, 481 nt
Filed under: uncultured bacterium
Lineage: Bacteria
Description: partial 16S ribosomal RNA
Rfam family: Bacterial small subunit ribosomal RNA
Source: RNAcentral